UGGGGAAUAUUGCACAAUGGGCGCAAGCCUGAUGCAGCCAUGCCGCGUGUGUGAAGAAGGCCUUCGGGUUGUAAAGCACUUUCAGCGGGGAGGAAGGCGAUAAGGUUAAUAACCUUGUCGAUUGACGUUACCCGCAGAAGAAGCACCGGCUAACUCCGUGCCAGCAGCCGCGGUAAUACGGAGGGUGCAAGCGUUAAUCGGAAUUACUGGGCGUAAAGCGCACGCAGGCGGUCUGUCAAGUCGGAUGUGAAAUCCCCGGGCUCAACCUGGGAACUGCAUUCGAAACUGGCAGGCUAGAGUCUCGUAGAGGGGGGUAGAAUUCCAGGUGUAGCGGUGAAAUGCGUAGAGAUCUGGAGGAAUACUGGUGGCGAAGGCGGCCCCCUGGACGAAGACUGACGCUCAGGUGCGAAAGCGUGGGGAGCAAACAGG
RNAcentral lists this ribosomal RNA (429 nucleotides) under Chloroflexota bacterium. Its description in RNAcentral is "Chloroflexi bacterium partial 16S ribosomal RNA". It matches the Rfam family "Bacterial small subunit ribosomal RNA", at positions 355 to 776 of the family's 1533-position model. Lineage: Bacteria; Bacillati; Chloroflexota. The record is from RNAcentral.